CGACUGUCUAAUUAAAACAGCAUUGCAAUGGUCUUUAAGGGUGUUGACGCAAUGUAAUUUCUGCCCAGUGCUCUGAAUGUCAACGUGAAGAAAUUAAAAAAAGUGCGAGUAAACGGCGGGAAUAACUAUGACUCUCUUAAGUUGUAGUUACUCGGAAUGGUGAUGCG
This 167-nucleotide non-coding RNA is filed under the name Melipona quadrifasciata. RNAcentral's name for it is "Eukaryotic large subunit ribosomal RNA". It matches the Rfam family "Eukaryotic large subunit ribosomal RNA", at positions 2135 to 2313 of the family's 3401-position model. Lineage: Eukaryota; Metazoa; Arthropoda; Insecta; Hymenoptera; Apidae. The record is from Rfam by way of RNAcentral.